Long non-coding RNA from Equus caballus (horse), 6888 nucleotides. Lineage: Eukaryota; Metazoa; Chordata; Mammalia; Perissodactyla; Equidae. The record is from Ensembl.
CGCAUAUAAACUUUAAAAAAAUUUUUAACUUAAAAUCAAAAGUCUAAAUCAACUAGCCAGUUAUACACUUUAAUUCAGCAUUGCAAGGCUACUUUCCAGAUACUUUAUUAAACAUUAAAAGUGUUUCUAGGAGCCCGCUCAGUGGCACAGUGGUUAAGUUAGUAAGCUCCGCUUCGGGGGGCCCAGGGUUCACUGGCUGGGAUCCUGGGCGUGGACUUACACACUGCUUAUCAAGCCAUGCUAAGGCAGGUGUCCCACAUAUAAAAAAAGUAGAGUAAGGUGGGCACAGAUGUUAGCUCAGGGCCAGUCUUCCUCAGCAAAAAGAGGAGGAUUGGCGGUGGACGUUAGUUUAGAGCUAAUCUUGCUUGGAAAAAAAAAAAGUUCCUAUUAAAUACUACUAAACAUUAAAAGUAUUUAAAACAUUAAAUGCAUUUAAAAUGUCAAAUAUACAGAUUCUUUAAUACAAAAAAAAUAAUACUAUGAGGUUUGAUUUCCUUCAUUAUAUCUCUAUUUAAUUCUAAAUCGUCCCAGGAUUAAGACAUACAUAUCCACUAAGAAAACAAUAUUGUCAUCCCAAGCAAAUCUAGGAACACCUUCCCAAGAAAUGUGUGGGUUGGCCUUCUUACCUAGGAGGUUUCUCUAUGGUCAGAGUGUCUUUUGGCUUCUGAGUCUUCAAUUCUUGCCUUCUCUCUUUCGUAUCCUGAAGAAAGGGGUUUAGCUUUCUCUGUGGAAGUAGAGUCAGCCAGACUCCAGUUCUGUACUUUCUUGCCAGCCACCUCCUUAAAAGCUGGCUUCUUCCCUUUCUCAGGAUUCUGGAGCACUCAGGAAGCCUCUGAGGCCCUGAACUCCUGCCUAAAGGCCUGGACUAAGCCAGGUCUUGUUGAUAAUUCACUGCAGCCUGAACCUCUUGGAUCCUUCAUCAGCCAGUAGUGGGGAGAAAAAAAUGUAUUGUUAAGAUUAAAGGCAGUCAACAGACUUCCCUUAGAAGAAAGAACUGUGUUUAGCUAAAGAACUAGACUUAGCAAAGCCCUUUCUUAGGCCAUUGUGAUUGUCAAGGUAAUCCUAGGUGAUGGCCUGAAUAAGAGUCAAAUGGCUCGACGUGAUGAAGCAUAAAUUUUGAGUUCCAGAGGGCAGUCAGAGAGGAAAGGAGAGAACAAUUAGAGUAAAUAGGGAGAGAGAGGAGCCAAGCUCUGGGGAUAAGGUGGGUGUAUGGACUCUAUGGGGAGGGACCUGUGAAAAUUCUUGGUGACAGGAAUGAUACUUCUAGGAACUGGGGUAUGUAAUGUUCAUGAUAGUUUGUUCGGUGCUGUUUCCCUCCCUGUCAGGACCAUAGCAGUGUCGUAUGAAAAUUAAUCUGACAGUGAUGAGUUGUGGCUGGAUCAGAGCUAGGAGAGAUUUGGGGUGGAGGACAGUCGGGAGCCAAUCACAAUUGUCCAGGAAUGAAGACUUUAACUAUUGUGGUAUUGACUGGAAAGGAAUGGAAGUGACAGAUGGAGGAGACUCAGGGACAUCUGUAAGAGCAGGAGUUGGAGCCAAAGUGAGAGAGAAUGAAUGGUGAGAGCACUCACAGAAGGAAUGAAGUCAGACAAUUGUGGGCAGAGUGGGCAGGAAGGAAUAGACUGGGUAGAGAGCAUGAGGCAGCCAUGUUGAAUAUGAUAGCCAGGACCUUCAGGCGGAAUGCUAUCGCUGGAAGUUAUACCAUAGCAGUAAUAUUUGAAACAGUGUGAAUUUCGAGGGACUGAAUUUAGAGAGGAAAGAACAGGCUGUGCACCACAGGACCUUUGCAAGCUCUGUACAUUAGAAUUAGGGAGAUGGGGAAAGGGGCAAAGAACCCCUGAGGAAAGGAAAGAAGUGGUGUGAAAGAGAGGUGAUCUUGGAUAUUGCCAAAUGGUAGAGACCUAAGGACAGAAUAAAUGAACUUAUCCCAACAUAUAUGAAAAAUACAAUUCAGUUUAGUUCCUUAGCCACAUAUUAAACAACUUUGAUGUGUUAGACCCAGAGAAUACAAAUAUAAAUAAAACAAGGUACCUGAGGCUGACCCAGGUAAGGCCACCUCCUAACAUCGGGGAGAAUCUAUCCAGAAAACAGGUCUGCCUGCACGUGGGUGGGGAUGUGUGCUUGGGGAGUGCCAUGGGUCAAUUCUUAAAUUUUACGGCAUAUCACACUCACCCUGAGGGGUUGUUAAAACACAGAGUACUGGGCCACACUCCUAGAGUUUCUGAUUCACUAGGUCUGGGGUGGUGCCUGAGAAUCUGCAUUUCUAACAAGUUCCCAGGUGACGCUGAUGCUACUGGUUCUGGCACUGUACCUAAGAACCACUACUCUAGGUUGAUGGUGAGAUGGGGCUGAAGGUGUGAAAGCACAGGAAAACCAGUCUACCCUUUGCCUUCCUUCUCUACAGGUCUCAAGGUCUGACCACUGAGGUUCCAUCACUUCCUUUGUUGUCUUCUCACCACAAUCUUAACAAUGGCGGUGGCAACUUCUAACUCUAAAAAAUUGUUUAAAAGGCUGCUGCUUUUGCAAAGUGUGCUGGGUUGGAGGUGGAGGAGGGGAAUCACUUCUUAAACCUCUUGCCAACCCCCUACCCCCUCACCCUGCUUCCCUUGCAAGGCCCUGGCCCCCUGCUUCUGAUAAUGACUGAUAAAUGCUCAAGUUUCUAGUUUCUAUUUGGCUGCUACACAGAGGCCUCCAACAUAACCUGGAAGUACAGUUGAGUUCUUAAACUAUGAAAUCCACAUUUAAAGGAUCAAAACAUAAACCACAAGGAUGGCCUUUGCUACAGGCCUCUUCAGUAACUUCACCAAAGGAUUAAUGAGAGAGAAGCACCCAGAUCAGGAGCCAGGGAAGCUUGGUCAGCCAGGGAAGUGAAAGGGGAUUCCAGAGGCUAGCAUUGGCAGUGACUUUCCUGGCUUGGCCUGGGAACAGGGACCAUAAGUUAACUGACUUCUAACACUAUGAUCCUGUUGGCAAGCUCAUUCCUGACGUAGAGAGAGAGGCAUCAAAUUAUUUGGUCUGAUUCCAUGAGUUGUUGGAUUUAUCUAGUUUCAGUGGUUCUGAUUCUCGGGCAUCUCCAUAGGUAGGUCUCUUUGUAAGGAAAGAAUGCACUGGUUUCUCACACUCCGGUAUUACGGUCCUUUAGAAAGUUAUAGUUCUUAUUGUAGUUAAUCUGUUGGUAUUCUGACUUUAUACAUUUUUCAAGAAGUUAGUGAAUUUGAGCCUGCCCCUAAGAGAUGGGUCUGUUCUCAAUAUGCUGAUGAGUUCAGGUUCUGAAACUGCCAGGUUGAGUACCAGACCCUGGACUGGUAAAUUCACCAAGGGAAUGUCUUAGGAGACCGCUAGCCUUCCAGAUUAUUCCCUAGGACACAUGGUCACAGAGCAUGAUGACAAGGAGCCACAACCCACCAUAAAGGUUCAGAAGAGGGUUCUUGGAGAUGAUAACAUCUGAGUUAUAUCUUAAAGACUGAGUAACAGUUUUUAGGUAAAGUGGGGUGGGCAGGGCAUUCUCACCAUGAUCCAGGACACAGAAAAGAGAAUUAGCAUGUCUCUCACUCCAACAGAGACCCCUCUCAUGGAGGAGCAACAAGCCAAGGGGCUCCGCAGGAAUGAUUCCAGCUCUCAGUGAUGCAAUCUGUCUGGGAACGAGAGGAAGACCAUCUGUUGACCCUCAGAAUCAACGUGCUUUCCUGAACCUCUUUCCCUGUAGUUAGUGCCCCUGCUCUGUUUUCUGCAUACCUUGCCAAGCCCCCCAAUUUCUAGGGUCUAGAAAGCCUCCACUUUAUGGAGUAUGAGAUUCUCCAUCAUUCCCCUGGGGCCUAGGCUUGUUCCUGCUCAGCCCCCACUGGACAAUGGCUUUCUGGAGGAGAGGCCGAGGAUGGGACUUGGGACUUAUCUAGAAUACAGUCCUCUAAAUUCAGGCUGAAGGGGGACCCCCAAGAUGUCCUUCCUUCCCAGGUCAAACUUGAACUCAAUUAAAAUGGUGUGUAUGACUCUUCUGAAGGAAGGCUGGUCUUUCACCUGGCAUCCCCCUAGGCUCUUAAAAGCAGGGAAGAAUGAAGAGGAAGUGGGCCCCUUCCCUUCAUCACUGGUCACCGUUGAAUCCUUCCCACCCUGCCCCAGGCCUCAGCUGGAAUCCAAAGUCUUCCCCAUUUACCACCAACACGGGGGGGGGGGGGGGGGGGGCGUCUACUUAGCUUGUGGCCUUGAGCAGAUUCUAGAAGUUCUGUCCCAGCCUGAGGGGUGUGACCAGUCACCCAGGCUCUUUAAGUUUGUAUAUUAAAACUUUUUAUAUUAAAAAAAAAUUGUUAGAAAAGAAGGCAAAAGAAUAGGAGGUGGUAGAGGACACAAGAUUCACUGAUAGACUUUUGUUUUUAGUAUGAAAGACAUGAGCAAGCCCGAGAGCAAAGAGCCAAUGGAUGAAAGAGAGAAAAAGUUAAUGAUGGAAGCAGGUCCUGGAGGAGACAGGUUGAGAGAUGCGAAGGGAUCACCCACAGAGGGGCUGGCUCCAAACAGGAAGAGAGAGACUCAUCCUUUGAGACCAGUGGAUGCUGAUGUCACAUAGAAUCAGAUGGGACUAGCCACAUAAGACAUUCUUGGGGAAGAUCAUCUGAAUUUUAAGUGGACCCCAAGUCAUUUAACAAACCAGAGAAUGCCUACUUGGUGAAAACCAUUCACAUAUAUCAUUACAUUAAAUCCUCACAACAACCCUAUGAGGUACAUAUUGUUCUGAUUUUACUCUAGAGGAAAGAGCCUCAGAGAAGUUAAGCAACAUGUCCUAGGUCACACAGUUUACAAGAAGCGGACCUGGGCUCUGAAUCCAGGCCUGUUUAGCACAUGUUCUUUGUAUGACCUCACGUCACACCAUGGUGCCUUAGAGCAAAGUGGAGGUGGUUGUGCCUGUCAUAGAAAGCCCGUAUGAGUGGUCUUAGGGGACAGUGAGUUUUUUAAUCUCUGAAAUUACCACAGAGGUGUUAUCUAGGUAUAGAUCGUGUUCUGGAUUCCAGAUUUUCUAGUUUGUCUAGAAAUCUGUCCAGCUGUAGCAAACAGCACAGGCCCACUUAGGGCCUCCAAGAGUCAGAUGAUAGCCUGGUUAGAAUUUGAGCUAAAAAUAAGCUAACUACCUCCUGAUUUUGUGCCUUAUAUUCAUUAAAGAGUGUCUUUUUGAUAGUUGAAAGUGUGGCAAGGGAUGGAGAAAAUAUUUUCAGUCCUGAAGAUUCUUAACCAGUACCCAUGACUAAGUACCAUGAAUUAAAUGAUCCUCUAUCAAACUGGUAAUAGUGGCUGCAUCUGGCAGAAGGGACCUAGGGGAUGUCCAGGGAUAUUGGCCUACGUACAUAUGUUAUUGAGUCAAAUGCACUUAAAAUUGUAUCUCUAUAUUACGGCAAAACUGAGUUAUUACAUGCGAAGUCCUCAGGUAACACUUCUGCCUGCAGUGGUUCUCCUCAAGUGCAGUUACUAGAAGAGUAGACAGACACCGCGGGGGGCUCCGUGCUGUACGACGCAAAGUGCGCGCAGUCUCUGGACCGGCAUUCACAGAUUCUCAUGAUCCGCUCUGCUGGAACCGCUCUCCCCCAUCACGUCAGCAGUUCCCACGUGGAGCAGUGGGGAAAGAUGGUGCAAGGAAGAAAUCAAAGCUUCCUUCUGGAAACAUGAGCGUUCUAGGAAUUAACGCUGGAAGGAGGAGAGCAGGUUCCUGGGCUUACACGGUUGUUGUACGAGGCUCUCUCCUGAAGCUGGACUAGAGAUCGAAUGAUUCAAGGGCUGAUGAUACAGGAAUGCAGGGGUGGAGUGAAAAGAAAGAGUAAGGCUACUAUGGGGGCAGGUUUUUAAGAAAGUGCCUGGAAAUAUUGGAAAAGGCUAAAAAGCUAGGUCGAGGCCAGUUUGUGGGAAUUGGGACCCUCCCCAAAUCUUGCGUUUUCCAUGAAGCUCUCAGAACUGGCCAGAAGAAAGACUUUCCCUUUCCUUGGCUUUGAUGAGUCUAGACUUGGAAUUCUAUUAGUCACCCUCCCCCGACCUCUAAUUCAUUCUAAAAUAUUGGGCACCUCCUAUGUGCUAGGCUCUUCUCUAGGCUUUUGGAAUACAGGCAUGAAUAAGAAGGACAAGAACGCUCCUUCUUACUUUCUGAUGCAAGCAGUUAGAAAAUAGAAAAUGUCAGGUGUUCCAAAAAAUGAAAUCAAAAUCAGAGUGAUGAGCUGGAGAGAACUGGCAGGCUACUUUAAAAUGGUCAGGAAAGGCCUCUCUGAGGAGGGGAAGUUGAAGCUAAAACAGAUUGAGAAGAAGGAAGCGGCACUUGAAGAUCUGUGGGAUGAGCAUUCUAAGGCAGAGUGAAGAGCAAAUGCAAGCUCUUCCCAAACUGAGAAACAGACGGAAGGACAAUGUGGUUGGAGUGAAGUAAGCGCAGGGGAGAGGUAUAGGAGGAGAGGUCAGAGAGAGGGGUUCUGGCUGGGGUGAGGAGUCUGGAUUUCAUCGUAAGGGCAAUAGAGAACCGUUGAAGGUUCUAGGCAGAGGACAGACAUGAUCCUAUUUGUGCGUCAAAAGCUCUCUUUGCUUAUGAUGUGGAGAAGAGAUUGUAUAGGGCAGAGAACGAAAUCAGAGGAAUCAGGAGGUUACUGCAGUAUAAUUCAGGGAAUGGGUUUCCUCCAGGGCGGAGGUAGAGAUGGAGGAGGAGUGGAGUGAUGGUGAGAUUCCGGAUAUGUUUUGGAGACAGAGUCAAUACAGCCUGCCGAUAAAUUAGGUGCAGAAGGUAAAGGAGGAAGGAAUCAGGGAUCAUUUUGAGGUCUGCAACUGGGCAACUAUGAACUUUUCCUUAUUUUCUAUUGCUGUUAUCUACCUUAAGAAGACUUAAAUUUUUUAAAUUAUAAAAGCAAUGUAUAUUCGUGUAGAACAUCUAGA